Long non-coding RNA from Pseudophryne corroboree (corroboree frog), 662 nucleotides. RefSeq lists it as uncharacterized. The transcript is spliced from 3 exons. NCBI's taxonomy places the organism in Eukaryota, Metazoa, Chordata, Amphibia, Anura, Myobatrachidae. The record is from RefSeq and is a predicted model, not a curated record.
AAACAGUUCCAUUCCCUGAACGUGCAGGCGGUCUGUGAUGUAAACAUGAGAUUUUUGAACAUUUUUGUGGGAUUUCCUGGAUCAUCUCACGACUCUUUCAUCCUAAGCCAGUCAUCGCUGUUUGACAAGUUUGAAACAGGAAACAUGCCUGGUGGCUGGCUGUUAGGCGAUGCGGGUUAUCCAAACAAACCGUGGCUCUUGACCCCAUUGUCUAAUCCUGUCGGUAGAGCAGAAAAACGUUACCAAGAGACACACAUUGCAUCGAGGCAAAUAAUUGAACGUGCCUUCGGUGUACUUAAAAGCCGGUUUCGAUGUUUAGACACUUCCGGCGGUGCUCUUUUGUACUCACCGGCGAAGGUUUGCGGCAUGGUAAAUGCAUGUUGUAUUUUACACAACAUAUGUGUCGCAAACCGUUUGCCGGUGACUCUUCGUCGCAGUGCUUUCCGAAGCGGGAAGCAGUCUUCUGCUCUACCGGUGGGUAUGGACGAAGGAGAGGAUUCCCGGCGGACAUUGAUCCAAAAUUAUUUUGCAGUUGCCUAGUUUUACAUCCUGUUGAUGUAUAUCCCCAGGCCAUGUUUGUACAGUUCGUUACCCCCUGUUUUAUCCUGUUGUUGGGUUACCGCAAAUAUUUGAUCCUUUUAUCCAACUCUACCAUGGGCGAC